Molecule: long non-coding RNA, 721 nt
Organism: Oreochromis aureus
Lineage: Eukaryota; Metazoa; Chordata; Actinopteri; Cichliformes; Cichlidae
Source: Ensembl
GCGAGAGGAGACGGCUGGAAGUAUGAAGAAGCGUGACAGAGAGAAAGUGGAGAUGGCCGACAGUCAGAGAAUAGAGGAUGAAGGGAUGAAUGUGCUUACCAGUGAAUACCUGCAGUCAAUCUCCAAGGUGGCUGACACACCAGAAGCUUCUGGAAGUUGUAUUGAAAGCACUGAUGAUGAAUAUAUUCCAUCAAAAGACUCAGGGAAUGAAAGUAGUUCAGAGGGAUUUGACAGUCCUGCAAAAAGGGUCCCAUUGUUGAAAAUUAAGAAAACAAAGAAGUCACAAAAGACUUCCAGAAGAAAAACACUUCCAAGUACAUCUUCGGAAGAAAUGCAGGAAGAUGUGGAAAGUGAUCUUUCAGAGACGGAUGCAUCAAAGGAGUCAUCUUUCAGCUCCUCAACAUCGAGAUCCUCAACACCUAAGAGAAGAAAGGAGACAGGAUCUGACAUUGAUGACCCUAAAGAGGGUACUUCUCACACCCACCGCACACCCUGUUUUGCCUCAGGAACUUCAACAAAGGAAAAGGAGUCUGACACUGAUGCCACUAAAAUGGGACCACCAAGAUUCAAGCAAGGACAGUGGACCACAGAUGAGCCUGAUGGUGACCACACUACCGCAGGAACAUCAAAGAAGAGGACUUGGACAUCAGCUGAGGUCCAAGCUGUGGAAAAGACACUAAUGUCCUUCAUUGAGUCUGGUAAAGUACCAGGAAAGUCAGAC